GAUUUCUGGUAUGGCGCGCUUGGCCCGCCGAGGUUACUCGGUUGUGUGCCGGUGUGCGCCUGCCAUCCUUCUGGGGAACGGCUCUACCCUUCACUGGGUGGGAGUCGGUAUCCAGAUCUUUUACUUUGAAAAAAUUAGAGUGUUUAAAGCAGGCUUACGCUAUGAAUACAUUAGCAUGGAAUAAUAAUUUAGGACUUUGGUCUUAUUUUGUUGGUUUCUAGGACUAAAGUAAUGAUUGAUAGGGAUAGUUGGGGGUGCUAGUAUUCAGCGGCCAGAGGUGAAAUUCUUGGAUUCGCUGAAGACUAACUUAUGCGAAAGCAUU
RNAcentral lists this ribosomal RNA (322 nucleotides) under uncultured Paracercomonas. RNAcentral describes it as "SSU rRNA". The stretch from base 83 to 322 matches the Rfam family "Eukaryotic small subunit ribosomal RNA", at positions 714 to 955 of the family's 1831-position model. Lineage: Eukaryota; Cercozoa; Cercomonadida; Cercomonadidae. The record is from RNAcentral.